UCCUGUCGUCUCCAUCGCGCCUCUGUCCUAACCCUUCCUCCCUCCCUGUACGGUUCCUCCCAGGUGAGCAACGGAAAUGGAAGCCAAGCCAAAACCAUCCACCUAAAGCCUGAAUCAGUGUUUGCCUAACCCCAAAAUUACUCAUAAUCUGCUAGAAAUUCCACCAUUUGAACACCAGAGAGCGAUUCCAGAAUAUAUCCAUACCCUUGUAUCUAUAACCUCUGCGAUUUCCAGAUAUCAUAUAUGAAGGCUUUGGAACAAAGAUUCUAUAGUAUAAGUUAGAAAGAUACUAAAACGAAGUCAAGGUGCGCAUGCAGAAUAAUCUCAAAGGUGAAAACUCAAUUCGAAAGGGAGAUGAUCUUCCUAAAAAGAUAAGUAUUUUCAACUUAUUUGAAAAUCCUUAUAUGUUCUUUGUUCUUUGUUCAUUCGUGAAAAACUAUGUUCUUUGUUCAUUCGUGAUAUUCCCUCAUCUAGGUUUGGAUUCCGUUAUUUUAUUAGCCAUUUUGCACGAUUUAAUGGAUGCAUAGUAGGACACGGAUUGUGAACAGAAUGCCUAGAUAAGAACAUUACCUUUUUUUUAAUCCAUAAAACAAUUUAUCAAGCAUAAUCUCUAGCACAUCUUAUUAGAAAACCUCUAGCAUGAUCUAUGAAUCUCUAGCACAAAUUAGCAGAUUUAGCUUGUAUUAUACCUUUUCAUUCCUUAUGUUGAUUGACUGGUUUUUCACAUCUUAUGCUAAACUCCUGCUUUAGCAUUCUGCAUUGGUAAUAAUAUAAUGGUCUCAUGGAUUCCCUUUUCACAUCUUACAUACCAAAAUACAAUUUGGUAGGUUAAAUGUUUUUAUCUGUUUUUAUGUGUACAGUGCCACAUUUGGAGCAGUAGAAACAUUUUCUACCAAAAUAGUGUUCUUUGUUUAGUUUGGGGCCAAUGCUGAAGCUCUGAUUUGGUUUCAGUACAUUAUUUUGUAUUUACAUGUUAGAGGUUAUUUUUUCCUGUGUAUUAAAAAGUAGUACAACUAUAUUUUGUAGUAGAAGUGUAUUUAGAUUCUCAUUUCAAUGUAAAUCAGUGUAAUAUGAGAUUUACAGUAAAUUAAGAUGCUGUAUUUGGUAGAUUAGCUACUGUUGUGUAAUUGUUUCAAUGAAAUGAAAUGAAAUGAGAAUCUGUUUGAAAACAAUGGUGUUUUAUAUUGACUUUUGAAAAAAGUUUGUCUUUAUUAAUACUUAAAAAAAAAACACAAAUAUAUAAGUCUUGCUCUCAAAUCGGUAAAAUGUUGCAAAAAGCAAAAAAAAACUUCAAUUUUUUUUAACAUAUUAUGACUCGAAAUUAAAUUUUGUUCUGAUUUAGCAUAAAAAAGGAACAGCUAAAGAACAAAGUCGUUUGUUCAUGAUUUUUUUUUUUACUAAUGACAGCUUAAUGGUGUUUUUUUACUAAACAAUGGUGUUUUAUUUGUUGUAAAAAUAUUAACAUGUUAGCCAAGCAGCUUAGUGUUUAUAAUUUCACUAAGUUUUAGAUUGUUGUAAUUGAAUGUGGGUGAUUGUAAUAAGUUAUAGUUGAUGUUGUGUUAUGAAAUCUGACUUACCAUUGCAAAGGAAAGAUUCAUUUUUUUUUGAAAAUGGUUAAAGUGAAUUUUAAACUUAAAUUUUGUUUACUUGACUGUAAAUCUAUUUUUGUUUUUAAUAUUUUCACUUACUUUAUUUGUGUUACUUAAUGGUAUUUAUAUUUUUAAAAUAUUAACUUGUAAGCCAAAGGGCUUAGUGUUUAUAAUUUCACUAAGUUUUAGAUUGUAAUUUACUCUUCAUGUUUUGUAAUAAGUUAUAGUUGAUGUUGUGUUACAAAAUUUGACUUACCAUUGCAAAGGAGUGUUUGUAUCUAUUUUUUUUAAAUGGUUAAAGUGAUUUUUAGACUUCAAUUUUUUUUCCCAGAAUCCAAAUCUUAUUUGUUUUUAAUUAUUUAAUUUUCUUUCUUACUUUGUUUGUGUUACUUACUACUAUUGCAAAUUGAUAUAGUUAUGAAUUUGAACUGCAAAUUGUUGUUAAAAAUAGUACUGAUAAAAAUAUAAUGACACAACUUAAAACAUGUUUGCUAGGAUGCAUCUGAGAUUAGUUUUCAAAUAUAUCAUUAAAAUGUUCCUUAAGUAUAAAAUAGCAGUGCAUUAAAUAUAGUUACAUGUACAGAUAUCUCUAUGUUCACUAUCCUAAACUAAUUUGUUACAAACUAUUGCUGAAUUGUAUACAUUCUUGCCCAUCUUGCAAAAUCACUUUAUCCUCCUAAUGUCUUGUUGGUUGCUUUCCAUUGCAUUGCAUCCUUAUAAGCUUCCUGCACACAGAAGAUAUAGCAAGUACAAAUAGGAAAAGGAUUUCAUUACAUAAGAUAGCAAGUAGAUAUGGAUACUGGUAAAACUUUCACCAAUGUAAUGGUGAAAUUAGUCUAAAAAAUUGUCACCACCAAUUGUCUAAUAGCACUCACACAGUGCUAUUCAAUCAAAAACAUAAAAACACUUGCCCAAAAACAACAAUUCAACAAUAACAGUUCAACAAUAAUUGUUUACCUGAUUAAAAUCAUCAUCGAUCACCUAAGCUGCUCCAUGUGGUCUUGGUAUAUGAGAAUGUAUCACAGUGCCAUACAGACAAAAAAUGUUAAAAAUUUUCUAGAAUACUAUUUUUUAAACUAAAAGAGUUAAAAGAAGAUACAAAGCUUACCAAAUGUGCAGGUGUUCUCAAUCCUUAGCCUCAACACAACAUAAUCUUUAAGCUAUUGUCUACUUCAUCAUGAAUGUUUUCCCAACAUGGCCUAUGCAGCUUAACCAUUUUCCUCCAUUGUGCAGUUAGUCACAUAUGGAAAUCCAAGCUCAAAAUCAUCAAAAAAUAAAAAGACAAAGUCAAUGCAUUAUAAGAAGUUUAAAGCUACAACAACAGCCGAACUCGGAUAGCUCUCCUUGUAUGCACAGGGCUAAUAUGACUUGCAAGGGUUGAAGAAGGUGUUUUAUAGAAGGAUUUGGUGGCUGAAGAGUUCCCAAAGACUCAACCAUUAAUUGCAUCGGAUACUGAAACGCCAAUUCUGAGUAUACCGACGGCUUGCAGUAUUUAUAUUUUAUAUUUAUGUAAUAUUUAAUUUAAUAUGUAAAAUUAAAUUUAGAUCAUUUACAUCUGUUGGGUUUGCCGUGUAUUCAUUUAGAGUUUGAAUUUGUAACAACUUCCAAUAACUUAGGGAAUCCCAAAAGAUUAUUAUGAAUCAAUUUUGUAUUUAAUUCUAACGUAAA
Ipomoea triloba (trilobed morning glory) is the source of this 3257-nucleotide long non-coding RNA. RefSeq lists it as uncharacterized. The transcript is spliced from 3 exons. Lineage: Eukaryota; Viridiplantae; Streptophyta; Magnoliopsida; Solanales; Convolvulaceae. The record is from RefSeq and is a predicted model, not a curated record.